Molecule: ribosomal RNA, 483 nt
Filed under: uncultured bacterium
Lineage: Bacteria
Description: partial 16S ribosomal RNA
Rfam family: Bacterial small subunit ribosomal RNA
Source: RNAcentral
AUUGAACGCUGGCGGCAGGCCUAACACAUGCAAGUCGAGCGGAUGAAGGGAGCUUGCUCCUGGAUUCAGCGGCGGACGGGUGAGUAAUGCCUAGGAAUCUGCCUGGUAGUGGGGGAUAACGUCCGGAAACGGGCGCUAAUACCGCAUACGUCUGAGGGAGAAAGUGGGGGAUCUUCGGACCUCACGCUAUCAGAUGAGCCUAGGUCGGAUUAGCUAGUUGGUGGGGUAAAGGCCUACCAAGGCGACGAUCCGUAACUGGUCUGAGAGGAUGAUCAGUCACACUGGAACUGAGACACGGUCCAGACUCCUACGGGAGGCAGCAGUGGGGAAUAUUGGACAAUGGGCGAAAGCCUGAUCCAGCCAUGCCGCGUGUGUGAAGAAGGUCUUCGGAUUGUAAAGCACUUUAAGUUGGGAGGAAGGGCAGUAAGUUAAUACCUUGCUGUUUUGACGUUACCAACAGAAUAAGCACCGGCUAACUUCGUG